UGUCCAUAAACACAGGGCCUGCCUUCUUCCCUAAACUUGAUUGGGGUUGCAGCCGGCUAAAUGGGUGUGUAAAUCUUCCCUGGAACAGCACAGCACCGUGGGCUAAAGGCUAAAGUCAGCAAUCUUGGCAAACAUGUUUUCUCUGGAGCCCCUGUGGUGCACAAUGACUUGGCUAUUCCUCUAGAAUGCCCUAAAGACAAACACUUUGAACACUGUUAUCCAAUCAGACAUUGGCUGAGACAUGCUUCCUGUUUGUUCAGCUUCCUGUUUGGCGCUUAUUGCCUGGCCUGAGGUCUCCUAUAUUUGCUAGUAUCUUGUCAGAUCCUCUCUGAAGAUAAACGACUACAAUGCAACUGUUCUGAGCAGCUAUUUCUCAUUUUUUCUCUGCUCUUUUUCAAUCUCUUUUUGUCUUUUCUAAUCAGAUCUUUCCUGAUGUUCAGCUGUGGUAAUGAUAUUAACAGGGAUAAGCAACUAAAACAAUGAGCGGCAAACCCAAAGUAAACAGCCUUGUGGUUCUGGACCUGUCUCCACUGAAGAUCUUCCUGUCUGUUUGGCUGGAUGUGCUAACACAGACUCCAUGUCGAGGUUGAGGGGGAGUUUGGAUUGCGCUCUCCGUAUGGACACAGAGAGAUGAAAAGAGAGAUGGAGGGAUGACCUACUGUGAAGGUGUGAAAGCGAGGACCAAAAGGGAAAUUCUCAGCAUGGGGCUUUUGAUGGAGGUCUAAGUGACAAUGCACACCGAGAGAACUGGAAGCUGCAUAAAUCACCCAGGUUGUGAUAUUUAGCUUGGGUUUGACUUCUACAUGUUCCUUAGUUACUGUUCCUUCACUGGACUCUACUUGACUCACUAAAAAAAUGAAAAUAUAAACCCCUGGUGAUCAACAUUGUCCAAGGGAAAGCAUAAAUACAUGUAAAGACAAAAUACAUUCACUUCACACUAUCAGCCGAUAGUAGACUAUUGGUGGAGACAUCCAAAACAACAUUGGUGCAUUUUCUUUUGUGGUUUACUUUAGAAAACGUAAUUUGGAACAAUGUGAGGGUGAGUAAAUGAAGUCAGAACUCUCAUUUUUGUGUGAACUGUCCCUUUAAGUAGUAUGUCAUUGCUUUCUAAACAGUUUGUUUAAGGGGUGAGCUGUUUUGGUGCUCUGCACAACUGUUUCCUAUCCAAUGGCUCAGGGCAGAAGGGUUAAGCAUCUCACAGAUCUCAUUGGCCAUCUUAAAGCUCGAGCUGUGAAAUGCCUGGAGCAAACGGAUACGUCCUAAAAUAAACAAAAAUUAGGAAAACCAAAAGGAGGGGUGGAAACAGGUGCUCUAGAAAGAGCGCUGAAAUAAAAGGACAAAAGGCAAAUGUGAACAAAUUUGACCCUUUAACCUGUUCAUUGGCGCCUUGUUUGGAUAAGCACAUUAGAGUUGAGAGGGCUCAGCAUCAGCCUGAAAAGCUACUCUGAGCCUUUAAAAAGAAAAAGGCCUUUGCUUUCUGUUCUAAAAACAUUGUUCUCUGCUGUGGAUGCUUGUUUGAAAGUAAAACUAGAUGAUACUAAUUUAAAUAGCAGAAAGGAAUUCAGAUUGUACAUCAACAUAUAAUUUCAAUAUUAUAUCUCAUUUAAUACGUCUUUUUGAAUCACUGAGGAAUUGUGGGUGCAUUUCACAGUUUUAGCAGGUCCUUGCUCGCUCUUUGGUCCAUAACAUAACAAAAGCAGUGCACCUUGAGAGGCGGCAGGUUAUUAAGACGUUCGAAAGAAUUGACAGUCAGUAAUUCAUAGCACAAGGUGCCUCCAACUAAAUCUAUUGUUGUGCCUUGGGAGAUGAAAGAAAAUGGACUGAAGGCAGCUGAAGGCAUUUAGACGUUUGACAAUUGAGCACAAAUGACUUUUUCACAGAAAAUGCAAAUAUUAUUUUCCAAAGAUUGCUAAUGGAUUAAAGAAAGUGGUGUGAGAGGCCGUAUGUUUGGAUCACAGCUCUAAAGAAGAGAAC
Molecule: long non-coding RNA, 1974 nt
Filed under: Carassius auratus (goldfish)
Lineage: Eukaryota; Metazoa; Chordata; Actinopteri; Cypriniformes; Cyprinidae
Description: lncRNA (ENSCARG00000014621.1)
Source: RNAcentral